CCCUUAGAUGUUCUGGGCUGCACGCGCGCUACACUGAUGCAUCCAACAAGUUUUUUCCUUGUUCGAGAGGACUAGGUAAUCUUUUGAGAAUGCAUCGUGAUGGGGAUAGAUUAUUGCAAUUAUUAAUCUUCAACGAGGAAUUCCUAGUAAGCGCGAGUCAUCAGCUCGUGCUGAUUACGUCCCUGCCCUUUGUAUACACCGCCCGUCGCUGCAACUGAUUGGGUGACCUGGUGAACAUCUUGGACCGGUCCACUCAAUUUCGAGAGGACUGGAAAAGGCCGUAAAUCAGGUACAUCUAGAAAUUGCAAAAGUCGUAACA
This 319-nucleotide ribosomal RNA is filed under the name uncultured eukaryote. Its description in RNAcentral is "partial 18S ribosomal RNA". It matches the Rfam family "Eukaryotic small subunit ribosomal RNA", at positions 1470 to 1796 of the family's 1831-position model. The record is from RNAcentral.